GCAAGUCGAACGGGACUUGAUUUGUAGCAAUACCGAUCAAGUCUAGUGGCGAACGGGUGCGUAACACGUGAGCAAUCUGCCGGGAAGUGGGGGAUAACUCGUCGAAAGGCGAAUUAAUACCGCAUAUGGCCAGGGAGGACAUCCUUCCGAAGCCAAAGCCGCAAGGCGCUUCCUGAUGAGCUCGCGGCCUAUCAGCUAGUUGGUGAGGUAAUGGCUCACCAAGGCUAUGACGGGUAGCUGGUCUGAGAGGACGACCAGCCACACUGGAACUGAGACACGGUCCAGACACCUACGGGUGGCAGCAGUCGAGAAUUUUUCACAAUGGGGGAAACCCUGAUGGAGCGACGCCGCGUGGAGGAUGAAGGCCCUCGGGUCGUAAACUCCUGUCAAACGGGAACAAGAAAGUGAUAGUACCGUUAGAGGAAGAGACGGCUAACUCUGUGCCAGCAGCCGCGGUAAUACAGAGGUCUCAAGCGUUGUUCGGAUUCAUUGGGCGUAAAGGGUGCGCAGGCUGUGGGGUAAGUCGGAUGUGAAAUUUAGGGGCUCAACCCCUAAACUGCAUUCGAUACUGCUCCGCUAGAGGACUGUAGAGGAGAUUGGAAUUCACGGUGUAGCAGUGAAAUGCGUAGAUAUCGUGAGGAAGACCAGUGGCGAAGGCGAAUCUCUGGGCAGUUCCUG
RNAcentral lists this ribosomal RNA (678 nucleotides) under uncultured Verrucomicrobium sp. Its description in RNAcentral is "bacterial SSU rRNA". It matches the Rfam family "Bacterial small subunit ribosomal RNA", at positions 57 to 742 of the family's 1533-position model. Lineage: Bacteria; Pseudomonadati; Verrucomicrobiota; Verrucomicrobiia; Verrucomicrobiales; Verrucomicrobiaceae. The record is from RNAcentral.